AGAAAAUGAAAAAAAGUCGUUUUCUAAAUUCUGAAAACACGGGACUCGUUCUGUCUUCAUCUCCGAGUUUCGAUUUCCUCUGUCUCGAUGGAUUCGAUCUUUGAAGGCCACGACUACAACAAGUGAAAGAAUGUGGAGACCCUUUCACUCAUCUCCCCCGAGUCUUCUAAGCCCUCUUCACAACCCCCUUUGCUUGUUCUUCAGUUUUGUUUGCCUCUCCGGGCAGUUGCUGCCUUAUUUUGCUUUUCUGGCCCUCCUAAGGUCAAUUUACACUUGGACAGUAGUGCGUCCAAAUUUAGGAAGAAAAUGCGCAAAGUUGAAGUUGACGGAACACAAAAUGGGUUUAGUGAUAGCAAUCCUUAUGGGAGGCAGGGAGGCGAAGACUUUAAAAGACAAUUUGUAAGGUAUUAGCAGAAUCAUUGCUUGGAGUUCACACAUGAAUCUACACUAAUUUUGUCCCAGUAAUUUUAGUUUCAAGUUCAGCAACUUGCUGAGCAACUCGACUCUCAAAAUUUGUUUUCUUACCAUUUUUGUUUGUUCUCUCAGUGGUGGUAGCAAUGAAAAAAUGUAUAAAAGGGGUUCUGAUAAUGGUUGUUUGA
Molecule: long non-coding RNA, 599 nt
Organism: Tripterygium wilfordii
Lineage: Eukaryota; Viridiplantae; Streptophyta; Magnoliopsida; Celastrales; Celastraceae
Exons: 2
Source: RefSeq, a predicted model, not a curated record